RNAcentral lists this long non-coding RNA (519 nucleotides) under Homo sapiens (human). RNAcentral describes it as "HSALNT0289791". Lineage: Eukaryota; Metazoa; Chordata; Mammalia; Primates; Hominidae. The record is from RNAcentral.
UCUGGAAGUCAGGGGGCCCGGGGCAGGCUCUGUUCAGCCUCCCCUAAGCAACAUUCCAGGAUCCUGCGGAAAGACCCACCCAGGCCUGGGCCUUCCCUAGUCUGUGCACCACUGCGUUUGAGACGCUGGGCUGUGACCCCUGGCGGCAGCUCCACUCUGCUGGAGCUGGGGCUUGUUUUAAAUUAUGACCUAAAACUCUAAAACCCUCGCCUGUAAUCCCAGCACUUUGGGAGGCCGAGGCGGGUGGAUCACGAGGUCAGGAGAUAGAGACCAUCCUGGCUAACACUGCACUCCAGCCUGGGCGACAGAGCCAGACUCCGUCUCAAAACAAACAAACAAACAAACAAAACACUCUAAAACCCUCAAAGGAAAACACAAGCCUCUUGAUGUUAGACUUGGUAGUGAUUUCUUGAUUUCUUGGGUAUGACAGGAAAAGGACAGGCAGAAACGUGUAAAAUAGAUACAUGGGGCUUUACAAACAAGAAUGAAUAGAAUGAAAGGCAACACAUGGACUGGGAG